Molecule: unclassified non-coding RNA, 336 nt
Filed under: soil metagenome
Description: partial contains 5.8S ribosomal RNA, internal transcribed spacer 2, and large subunit ribosomal RNA
Rfam family: 5.8S ribosomal RNA (bases 1-120)
Source: RNAcentral
GAUGAAGAACGUAGCGAAAUGCGAUAAGUAAUGUGAAUUGCAGAAUUCAGUGAAUCAUCGAAUCUUUGAACGCACAUUGCGCCCGCCAGUAUUCUGGCGGGCAUGCCUGUUCGAGCGUCAUUUCAACCAUCAAGCCCCCGGCUUGUGUUGGGGACCUGCGGCUGCCGCAGGCCCUGAAAAGCAGUGGCGGGCUCGCUUUCACACCGAGCGUAGUAGCAUACAUCUCGCUCUGGGCGUGCUGCGGGUUCCGGCCGUUAAACCACCUUCAUAACCCAAGGUUGACCUCGGAUCAGGUAGGAAGACCCGCUGAACUUAAGCAUAUCAAUAAGCGGAGGA